UAUUAUACAGCUAUUAUCGAGGCUUAUAAGCAUCGCAAAAUAACCUUCCGAUCCUUUUCAAAGCAUCGAAAAAGCAUCGAUAGAUGAAGAGUGAAAAUAAAUAUUCUCGAUGCUUUUAUGCAUCGUUGGUAGAUAUUGAUGCUUUUCAGGCAUUGGCAAGUUUUAAUAACUACUGAUGCUUUUUUUGUGUCGGUAAUUAUUUUUCACUACCGACACUUUGAAAUAUCGAUAAUUUUUUUACAUUACCAUCACUUUAAAGUGUCGGCAAUUAUAUACUUCAUAAAAAAAAAUAUUUCUUAAUUCUGGAAUGCUCAAAAGUGGUUAAAGAGCGCC
This 333-nucleotide long non-coding RNA is filed under the name Elaeis guineensis (African oil palm). RNAcentral's name for it is "long non-coding RNA (EGUI_LNC039211)". The record is from RNAcentral. Lineage: Eukaryota; Viridiplantae; Streptophyta; Magnoliopsida; Arecales; Arecaceae.